Long non-coding RNA from Saccostrea cuccullata (small rock oyster), 316 nucleotides. RefSeq lists it as uncharacterized. The transcript is spliced from 3 exons. The record is from RefSeq and is a predicted model, not a curated record. Lineage: Eukaryota; Metazoa; Mollusca; Bivalvia; Ostreida; Ostreidae.
GUGUGUUCAGCUUUCCCUGCUGAAAUAAUGUGACCAAAUCAAGUGUUACCUGGAAAGAGGAAUAUGUCAAGGGUGCUUUUUACAUUAACUCCAAAAUAGCCAUUGGAAAGUUCAAGCCAGAUCUGCUGCUACAGCAAACUGAACAUAAAGUGGCAUACUUGUGUGUCAGGUAAUGAGGAACAUGUAUGGCUGGACUGAGAAUCUAACUGGGGAUCUCUGCAUCACUACUUACAUAUCCAUGGAAACAUAGAAUUCUUGGCUAUAAUCAAGUGUCAUCUGCAGUGUUACAAAAGAAUAUUAGAUUUAUAUCAAUAAG